UAUGUGAUCGUCUCUCGCAUAUCAAUAAGCGGAGGAAAAGAAACUAACAAGGAUUCCCCUAGUAACGGCGAGUGAAGCGGGAAGAGCUCAAAUUUGAAAUCUUAAAGGGUUUCCCUUUACGAAUUGUAGUUUAAAGAAGUGUUUUCUGUUGAGGUUUUGGUAAAAGUUCUUUGGAAUAGGACAUCAUAGAGGGUGAGAAUCCCGUAUUUGACCUUUACUUUCAACUUUGUGAUACACUUUCAAAGAGUUGGAUUGUUUGGGAAUGCAGUCCAAAAUGGGUGGUAAAUUUCAUCUAAAGCUAAAUAUUGGCGAGAGACCGAUAGCGAACAAGUACCGUGAGGGAAAGAUGAAAAGAACUUUGAAAAGAGAGUUAAACAGUACGUGAAAUUGUCAAAAGGGAAGCGUUUGACACCAGUGUUGUUUUUCUGAAAAUCAAUUAAAGAACUGUUUAUGCUAAGCUGUUUAGACUUUAUCAGCUAUCUGUUUAGUUUUGAGCUUUUCUUUAAUGCACUUUUCAGUUAACAAGUCAACAUCAAUUUCUUUUGCUGUAAAAAAGCUUGAGGAAGGUGGCUUGAGAUUCGUCUUAAGUGUUUAUAGCCUCUUGCCUAUGCAGUCGGAGAGAUUGAGGUCUGCAGCGUAGAUCCUUCGGGGCUAAAUGCAUUUGUGCUAAGUUAUAGCAUUUUAUAGACAACUUGUUGACUAUGAUUUGUCUUGUAGCUUACUCGCUUAUGUUAUUUUACCUACGCUUAGGAUGUUGAACGCGCACAGAGUCUC
RNAcentral lists this ribosomal RNA (774 nucleotides) under uncultured Neocallimastigales. RNAcentral's name for it is "partial large subunit ribosomal RNA". It matches the Rfam family "Eukaryotic large subunit ribosomal RNA", at positions 24 to 635 of the family's 3401-position model. The record is from RNAcentral. Lineage: Eukaryota; Fungi; Neocallimastigomycota; Neocallimastigomycetes; Neocallimastigales.